GUGUCAGCAGCCGCGGUAAUACGAAGGGGGCUAGCGUUGUUCGGAAUUACUGGGCGUAAAGCGCGCGCAGGUGGCUUAUCAAGUCAGGGGUGAAAGCCCGGAGCUCAACUCCGGAAUUGCCUUUGAAACUGAUGAGCUUGAGUACGGGAGAGGUGAGUGGAAUUCCCAGUGUAGAGGUGAAAUUCGUAGAUAUUGGGAAGAACACCGGUGGCGAAGGCGGCUCACUGGCCCGUUACUGACACUCAUGCGCGACAGCGUGGGGAUCAAACAGGAUUAGAUACCCGCGUAGUCC
RNAcentral lists this ribosomal RNA (292 nucleotides) under uncultured bacterium. Its description in RNAcentral is "partial 16S ribosomal RNA". It matches the Rfam family "Bacterial small subunit ribosomal RNA", at positions 505 to 796 of the family's 1533-position model. The record is from RNAcentral.